This 491-nucleotide ribosomal RNA is filed under the name uncultured bacterium. RNAcentral describes it as "partial 16S ribosomal RNA". It matches the Rfam family "Bacterial small subunit ribosomal RNA", at positions 29 to 507 of the family's 1533-position model. The record is from RNAcentral.
GUGAACGCUGGCGGUAGGCCUAACACAUGCAAGUCGAACGGCAGCACAGUAAGAGCUUGCUCUUACGGGUGGCGAGUGGCGGACGGGUGAGGAAUACAUCGGAAUCUACUUUUUCGUGGGGGAUAACGUAGGGAAACUUACACUAAUACCGCAUACGACCUACGGGUGAAAGCAGGGGAUCUUCGGACCUUGCGCGAUUGAAUGAGCCGAUGUCGGAUUAGCUAGUUGGCGGGGUAAAGGCCCACCAAGGCGACGAUCCGUAGCUGGUCUGAGAGGAUGAUCAGCCACACUGGAACUGAGACACGGUCCAGACUCCUACGGGAGGCAGCAGUGGGGAAUAUUGGACAAUGGGCGCAAGCCUGAUCCAGCCAUACCGCGUGGGUGAAGAAGGCCUUCGGGUUGUAAAGCCCUUUUGUUGGGAAAGAAAAGCAGCAGGUUAAUACCCCGCUGUUCUGACGGUACCCAAAGAAUAAGCACCGGCUAACUUCGUG